Molecule: ribosomal RNA, 497 nt
Filed under: uncultured bacterium
Lineage: Bacteria
Description: partial 16S ribosomal RNA
Rfam family: Bacterial small subunit ribosomal RNA
Source: RNAcentral
GAUGAACGCUGGCGGCGUGCCUAAUACAUGCCAGUCGAGCGAACAGACGAUGAGCUUGCUCCUCUGACGUUAGCGGCGGACGGGUGAGUAACACGUGGAUAACCUACCUAUAAGACUGGGAUAACUUCGGGAAACCGGAGCUAAUACCGGAUAAUAUAUUGAACCGCAUGAUUCAAUAGUGAAAGACGGUUUUGCUGUCACUUAUAGAUGGAUCCGCGCCGCAUUAGCUAGUUGGUAAGGUAACGGCUUACCAAGGCGACGAUGCGUAGCCGACCUGAGAGGAUGAUCGGCCACACUGGAACUGAGACACGGUCCAGACUCCUACGGGAGGCAGCAGUAGGGAAUCUUCCGCAAUGGGCGAAAGCCUGACGGAGCAACGCCGCGUGAGUGAUGAAGGUCUUCGGAUCGUAAAGCUCUGUUAUUAGGGAAGAACAACUGUGUAAGUAAAUAUGCACGUCUUGACGGUACCUAAUCAGAAAGCCACGGCUAACUACGUG